Non-coding RNA from Castor canadensis (American beaver), 1448 nucleotides. The record is from RefSeq and is a predicted model, not a curated record. Lineage: Eukaryota; Metazoa; Chordata; Mammalia; Rodentia; Castoridae.
AUGAGACUGCUGGCGGGCUGGCUGUGCCUGGGCCUGGCGUCCGUGUGGCCGGCGCGGAGGAUGUGGACACUGCGGAGCCCGCUGACCGCUCCCUGUACGUGAACACAGCCAGGGCCCCGGUGGGCCGGCGGCGGCCGUGGGCAGCUGGACGGAGCCCACCAGUGGUAUGUGUGCAACAGAGAGAAUUUACACGAGUCACUUCAGGCUGUCUUUGUUCAGAGUUACCUUGAUCGAGGAACACAGAUCUUCUUAAACAGCAGCACUGAGAAGUCGGGCUGGCUAUUUAUCCAGUUAUGUCAUUCCUUUGUGUCAUCUGUUUUUAGCCUGUUUAUGUCUAGAACAUCUAUCAAUGGGUUGCCAGGAAGAGGCUCAAUGUUCGUGUUUUCACCAGAUCAGUUUCAGAGACUUCUUAAAAUUAAUCCAGACUGGAAAACCCAUAGACUUCUUGAUUUAGGUGCUGGAGAUGGAGAAGUCACAAAAAUCAUGAGUCCUCAUUUUGAAGAAAUUUAUGCCACUGAGCUUUCGGAAACUAUGAUAUGGCAGCUGCAGAAGAAAAAAUACAAUGGUGUAAGUGAAUGGCAGAAUACGGGGUUCCAGUAUGAUGUCAUCAGCUGCUUGAGUUUGCUGGACCGCUGUGAUCAGCGCCUGACUUUAUUGAAAGAUAUCAGAAGUGUGUUGGAGCCAACUAGAGGCAGAGCCAUCCUUGCCCUGGUUCUUCCCUUUCACCCAUAUGUGGAAAAUGUAGGUGGCAAGUGGGAGAAACCAUCAGAAAUUUUGGAAAUCAAGGGACAGAAUUGGGAAGAACAAGUGAAUAGCCUGCCUGAAGUGCUCAGAAAAGCUGGUUUUGUCAUCGAAGCUUUCACCAGACUGCCAUACCUGUGUGAAGGCAACAUGUACAAUGACUACUAUGUUCUGGAUGAUGCUGACUUUGUUCUCAGACCAGUAUAAACAUGUAGAGGCCGAAGUCUUCAGAGUCUGCCCCACAAUCUACCCUCCAGAAGAGGGUCUGCAAGCAUGGUUAGUGAUGGAAGACUGUGGGGACUGCCAUUCUAAAUAUCGUGUAGGAAUUUAGAAAGCCAAAAUACUAAUUAUUUCUUUGUAGUGUAUACAAGGAAUGUUUUUUAAAAAAACAGAACCCCAGCUCUCUGUGGAUUUUUAUCAACCCUUUACUCAGUUAGGGUGACAGUCCAGUGCAGGUCACACUCCACUUAUGUUGGAAGAUAUUUUUUAUACAUUUGCUGUGGGGACUCAUUCCCAGACAAAGCAAUAGUCAUGAAUCCAUGGAACCAAUAAAUGGAUCGUUUUUAAUAAAAUGAAGAUUGGCAAUAAAGCUGUCUAUUUAGUUCUGAAUAUUGGUUAUAAGGCCUAGCCACUGAUGCUCUUUCCUCUUAGAAACUUCCUGUUACUGUUCAAGACAAUGUUUUUAAUCAUGCUAAUAAACUUUUUGG